GAUGAAGAACGCAGCGAAAUGCGAUAAGUAAUGUGAAUUGCAGAAUUCAGUGAAUCAUCGAAUCUUUGAACGCACAUUGCGCCCCCUGGUAUUCCGGGGGGCAUGCCUGUCCGAGCGUCAUUGCUGCCCUCAAGCACGGCUUGUGUGUUGGGCCCCGUCCUCCGAUCCCGGGGGACGGGCCCGAAAGGCAGCGGCGGCACCGCGUCCGGUCCUCGAGCGUAUGGGGCUUUGUCACCCGCUCUGUAGGCCCGGCCGGCGCUUGCCGAUCAACCCAAAUUUUUUAGCCAGGUUGACCUCGGAUCAGGUAGGGAUACCCGCUGAACUUAAGCAUAUCAAUAAGCGGAGGA
This 347-nucleotide unclassified non-coding RNA is filed under the name soil metagenome. RNAcentral's name for it is "partial contains 5.8S ribosomal RNA, internal transcribed spacer 2, and large subunit ribosomal RNA". The stretch from base 1 to 120 matches the Rfam family "5.8S ribosomal RNA", at positions 35 to 154 of the family's 154-position model. The record is from RNAcentral.